CUAGACACUUUUUCCGUCACACAGAGCCAAAAAAAUGAAUAAAGCCAUAAACACGAAAAGUCAAGACAACGAAGAAGGAGCAGCGACAUAAAAAACUAUUUUUUCUCUUACUUUCCUUAUUUAGACAAAGUUACAUCAGCAGAAAACAGAGUGCCCUGGCCUACAGUCCAUAACGACGCAGGCUGAUGCAUUUAAUAUAUGAAGGAACAUUUGCUGAAACCCAGGGCCAUAAAUCAUACCUAAAGCCCUUUCAGUGCACUGUUUUCUUCCUUAAUUUACCCUCCGUCUUCUUGUGGCUCAGAUCACCGAGGAACUCACUGAGAGCAUUGUUCUUGCUGCCAGCUCACUUGGCAUAUCUAGUUUUAUUUAGAGCCCUCCGGCUGUUUGGCAGCAGGAUGAAGUAAGCGGUGUUCAAGGUAUUUAUGAGGUUGUCCUCGUAUAACCUUUUUUUUUAAAUCAACAGUUUGACUAAUGCAUGUGACAGUAAACUUGAUGUUGGCAGCAGCUAUGAAGAAGUUGUCUCUCUGAGUGAUGUUGGCUGUGACAGCUGCCAAGACAACAUGUAUUCAUUACCGUAGGAUUUAAACUGAGUGACUUGUGUGAAAGACAACAUGUAAGAGUCAGUGCCUGGACUUUUAUAAUCAUACAGCUACAAAUCGCUCCACUUUAAAAAAAAGAAAAAGAAAAAGAGAGAGAGAAAAACAUUAGUUGCCGGUGUUCUAUUUUUUAAGUAUGGGUUAAAAACCACAACAUAGUUGACUGCAUUAGGACACGUGGAUUCUGGUGGAAAUGCUUAUGGUGACUGUUUAAAUGUGGAGCAGUUAUCAAAUAAUUAUGUACAAUACAUCAAUAGAAUAGAAUCAUACAAUAGACCAGCCAUCCAUAUAUAAUUAUAUAUGUAUGGUUGAUCUCCUCAGACAUUUUAAUGCCACUACAGUGUCCUAUGAUAAGCAGUGAUGCCCGUGUGUAUUUUCUUGGUUUCGUUUGUUGGAACACCCCUGGAUAACAGUCAUCACUAUUGGAAAAAUAAUAACAAUAAAAAAAUAAAUAAUAAGUGGCAGUAAUGCAAUUUAAAAUAUAUAAGACAAUUUGAAAUUAGCAGGAUUGGCUAACUUUGGCCAGGAUUUAGAUUAAAAUAUUGGUAGAAAAAAGUCACUAACUUUGCAGAAUUCAAUGAUGAUGAUAAAGUUUUUCAAAGAGUGCAGCUCUAAUUAACCGUGGGCCUGUGCAAACCUGUGCACCAUUGUAAACAGUCCAACAAAGUCUGACCAUUGUGCUCAAUAAUUCCCUCCUUCAGUAUAUGGCUUUAAUAUUUUCUGGGUAUAUUGCAUCAACAUCAUCGUCAUCAUGUAUUUUUAUAUUAUAACUAGCUGCAGCUUCAUUGUGACAGAAAUAUACGUCAGAAUAUUUUUUGUUGUGUUAUUUUAAUUUGGAGUUCUUGCCUCUUCCAGCUUUCCCAUAAUCCUUUGCGUGCACCUACGGCUGCAUCCGGUGCCACCUGUUGACUGCGGUAAAUCUUAAAGUGUAAUAAAGUCGCUCCACUGGUGUUUUAGUCUUUUAUUUAUUUAUGGAAUUCAUUUAUUUUUGCUCCCCUGUUUAUUCGCUUCUUAUUUUACCGUUUAAAUGAUGUUAUAGGCUGGCGUAUCUAUGUGUUAAAAAAUGCGUCUGUUAUCAACUCGUGUCUUUUAGGUUUAAUUAAGUACUGCGGGUGAGAAGGAUCUUCCUGUCGCAGCUGUUUUGGUGGACGGAGGCUGACUGAGCAGAACCAUGAAUUUCCAACUGCUGACAGACGAAAAUACUGGUUUCUUAUUCGUCCAACAUUGGGGAACUUCACAGUGUGAGUCUUUGCAACCCAAACAGGCUGCCACAGGAGGCACCUUUAGGGAUAUGUGGUUCCUCCAGGGCUCGAACCCAGG
This is a long non-coding RNA of Cynoglossus semilaevis (tongue sole), 1916 nucleotides long. RefSeq lists it as uncharacterized. NCBI's taxonomy places the organism in Eukaryota, Metazoa, Chordata, Actinopteri, Pleuronectiformes, Cynoglossidae. The record is from RefSeq and is a predicted model, not a curated record. The transcript has 3 exons.